GACGAACGCUGGCGGCGUGCUUAACACAUGCAAGUCGAACGGAAAGGCCCUGCUUUUGUGGGGUGCUCGAGUGGCGAACGGGUGAGUAACACGUGAGUAACCUGCCCUUGACUUUGGGAUAACUUCAGGAAGCUGGGGCUAAUACCGGAUAGGAGCUCCUGCUGCAUGGUGGGGGUUGGAAAGUUUCGGCGGUUGGGGAUGGACUCGCGGCUUAUCAGCUUGUUGGUGGGGUAGUGGCUUACCAAGGCUUUGACGGGUAGCCGACCUGAGAGGGUGACCGGCCACAUUGGGACUGAGAUACGGCCCAGACUCCUACGGGAGGCAGCAGUGGGGAAUAUUGCACAAUGGGCGGAAGCCUGAUGCAGCAACGCCGCGUGCGGGAUGACGGCCUUCGGGUUGUAAACCGCUUUCGCCUGUGACGAAGCGUGAGUGACGGUAAUGGGUAAAGAAGCACCGGCUAACUACGUG
Molecule: ribosomal RNA, 468 nt
Filed under: uncultured bacterium
Lineage: Bacteria
Description: partial 16S ribosomal RNA
Rfam family: Bacterial small subunit ribosomal RNA
Source: RNAcentral